AGAGAGAGAGACAGGAGAGAGGGAUGGAAGGAGAGAGGGAUUGAGGGAGAGCAAAGAAGGAGGGAGAGGAAAGAAGGAGAGAGAGGAGGGAGAGGAAAGAGACAGGAGAGAGGGAAGGAGGGAGAGAGAUGGAGAGUGGGAGAGACAGGAGGUAGAGGAAGGUGUUGAGAGGUAGGAGACAGUAAUAAAUAAAAGGUAAAUCAAAAUAAAGUAGAGGGUGGAGAGGUAGGAGACAGAUAAAAUGAGACUAAAAGAGGUGGAUGAGACCUUACCCAUACAAGAACAACUAGUUUUCCAGCAAGAAAUAGAUUUAACUUCACUCUAGUGAAAGCAUCCACCCAAAGCCCAAGCAGGCCUUUAGUUAAUCAUUUGGACUGUUUCUCCCAUUAACACUAUGCAACACUGAGAGAGUCCAGACACCAUGCACUGAGACAGAACAAAACAAAAUGGAGGUUGGGUUCUCAUAAACUCUUCUCCGCCCUCAAUUAAUCUCUCCUUGUUUCCUCGUAUCCUAUUUCCUCCUCAACCGUACUGGUCCCUCCCUUCCCCCUGACCUUCUCCAAUGCAUUUUUAGAUGAACACGAGGAGCGGUGGGGUAAGGAAUCAAGGAAAGAUGGAUUGAGAAUGAGUGUUAAUGUGGGUGUAUCCCAAAUGGCACCCUAUUCCCCACAGGCCCUGGUCUAAAGUAGUGCACUACAAAUAGGGAAUAGGGUGCCACAGGCCCUGGUCUAAAGUAGUGCACUACAAAUAGGGAAUAGGGUGCCAUAGGCCCUGGUCUAAAGUAGUGCACUACAAAUAGGGAAUAGGGUGCCACAGGCCCUGGUCUAAAGUAGUGCACUACAAUAGGGAAUAGGGUGCCACAGGCCCUGGUCUAAAGUAGUGCACUAUAUAGGGAACCAGGUGCCAUUUGGGACAGAGACCGUGUGGUAGUUAGCAACCACAACCACCGCCAUCUUAGAGUGAUGGCUGCACUCCAACAACUAGCCCCAUUUCAAAAUAAAUGUCUCAAAUAUGAAGAACCAUCUUGUUUAAAUGACAAUCUUUGAUAGCAGUGCUAAUGAUAUGUUUUGUAUUAAACAAGAACUGCAGGGGAACAUUUUUUAUCAGACAACAGAAAUGAAUUUAACUAAGAUGUAGACUUUCAGAGCAAAACCAAUGAGAAUUAAAGACUUGGGUCUUUAAAAACUGUAAAUACUGUUAAUAUUGCAAUGAAUGAAACUUUAAAAAAGAAAAUGAACAAUAACAUGUGAACUGCUGAACAACAAAAUGUGAUUUUUUUUAUUAUUAAUGUUACUAUGUACAUGUCCCAAAUGGUACCCUGUGCCCUAUACAGUGCACUACUUCUGACCAGGGCCUAUAUAGGGAAUAGGGUGCCAUUUGAGACGAAUCCCCUCUGUAAGCUUGUAUCUUUUCUUUUUCUACUUAGAGGUGCUACUGCAAGGUCUUCCGUUGCAGCCCAAAUCAACCCCCUACACUUCCAGGUGGUCCCAAUUCGUUCCCUACCCCCUCGAUGUUAGGGGCUGGAUAGGUAUAAGCAGUGCAGGUGGUUGACCUUUCCAAAACAAAAAUAUCCAUAUCUGUAAACAUUGAAUGGUUAGAGCUCAGGCUCCCGAGUGGCGCAGCGGUCUAAGACACUGCGUCUCAGUGCUUGAGGCGGAACUACAGACACCCUGGUUUGAUUCCAGACUGUAUCACAGCGGUCUAAGACACUGCGUUUCAGUGCUUGAGGCGGAACUACAGACACCCUGGUUUGAUUCCAGGCUGUAUCACAACCGGCUGUGAUUGGAAGACCCAAAGGGUGGUGCACAGUUGGCCCAGCGUCGUCCGGGUUUGGCCUGGGGGGGGGUAGGCCGUAAUUAUCAAUAAGAAUUUGUUCUUAACUGACUUGCCUAGUUAAAUAAAAGUUUAGUGUUUAAAAAACACGUUUUAUUCAGAUCAGUCCGUCUUUAUAGUGCAACUACUCCUGAUUAGGGGGUAGGGGUUGAUUUGGGAUUCAGCAGUAGCUUCAAUGAUCUGCCUUUCUGUACGAGUCCAGGCCUUUCUCUGUGACUGGGCCAUGGCUGCCAGCACUACCUACCUACCUACCGCCUUAGGCCCCGGGCUCAGUCACACGGCAGAGAGGCACAAACAAGCCGGGUAUGUCCCGCAUCACAACGUUGGCAAUACUCUGCAACGGUAUGUAGAGGAAUCCUUCUCAACAGACAGCUUGUCACGCACUACUGGUGCCUGCAGCACACGGGCUGUGUUCUAGAUCACAACGUUGCUAAACUAAUCUCUGCAGUUGUGUGUCUAUAUAUAUAUAUAUAUAUAAAGUGUUUAUCAACAACAACAAAACGUUGGUCGGUAAAUCUGUGCAACAUCUGUUCUUUCCCCAUUUCACAGACCUUUCCUUACAAGGGUUUUUUUUUUAUUCUGCCUUUUAAACCUGUAUUUGUUUUUAAACUGUUUUUAACUUGGUUUGUGCAACGUUUUGUGGUGGUGAACGUAUCCUGUUAAUACAGGACUGGGCUCGAGUCUAGAUAGAAUUGUGCAAAGGGAAGCUUGCCUCUAUAGGGAAUAGGGUUCCAUUUGGUGUUCUCUAUAGGGAAUAGGGUUCCAUUUGGUAUUCUCUAUAGGGAAUAGGGUUCCAUUUGGUGUUCUCUAUAGGGAAUAGGGUUCCAUUUGGUGUUCUCUAUAGGAAAUAGGGUUCCAUUUGGUGUUCUCUAUAGGGAAUAGGGUUCCAUUUGGUGUUCUCUAUAGGGAAUAGGGUUCCAUUUGGUAUUCUCUAUAGGGAAUAGGGUUCCAUUUGGUGUUCUCUAUAGGGAAUAGGGUUCCAUUUUGGUGUUCUCUAUAGGGAAUAGGGUUCCAUUUGGUGUUCUCUAUAGGAAAUAGGGUUCCAUUUGGUGUUCUCUAUAGGGAAUAGGGUUCCAUUUGGUGUUCUCUAUAGGGAAUAGGGUUCCAUUUGGUAUUCUCUAUAGGGAAUAGGGUUCCAUUUGGUAUUCUCUAUAGGGAAUAGGGUUCCAUUUGGUAUUCUCUAUAGGGAAUAGGGUUCCAUUUUGGUGUUCUCUAUAGGGAAUAGGGUUCCAUUUGGUGUUCUCUAUAGGGAAUAGGGUUCCAUUUGGUGUUCUCUAUAGGGAAUAGGGUUCCAUUUGGUAUUCUCUAUAGGGAAUAGGGUUCCAUUUUGGUGUUCUCUAUAGGGAAUAGGGUUCCAUUUUGGUGUUCUCUAUAGGGAAUAGGGUUCCAUUUGGUGUUCUCUAUAGGGAAUAGGGGUUCCAUUUGGUAUUCUCUAUAGGGAAUAGGGUUCCAUUUGGGACCCAAUCUCUGGUAUUACUUGAAACUUGAUGUGUAUAUGGGGGGGUCUUGAAUUACUUUUGCUUUCUUUUUCUACAAAAGUACUUUUGUAAAUGUAUUUUCUUUUUGUGACCACUUGGUGUACUAUGGGCAUAAGUAAACAAAUAAACAAAUAAUUUUUACUAAUCA
This is a long non-coding RNA of Oncorhynchus keta (chum salmon), 3459 nucleotides long. RefSeq lists it as uncharacterized. The record is from RefSeq and is a predicted model, not a curated record. Lineage: Eukaryota; Metazoa; Chordata; Actinopteri; Salmoniformes; Salmonidae. The transcript has 2 exons.